CUGGGCUCAAGCAGUCCACCUGCCUUGGCCUCCCAAAGUGCUGGGAUUACAGGUGUGAGACACUGCGCCCUGCCCAGUUUUCUGUUAGAUGAAUUAGGUAUAAGGAAAAUAAAAACAAACAAAAAACAGGAAUAAGGAAAAUAGCAGGUGUCUCACUCAUUUUGUAUGUUUCAAAUAAUUCUACCGUAAAACAUUAAAAAAAAUUCUUUUCGCUUAUUCUAGGCAGUGAUGACUUCUUAGGGAAUUCAGUCCCUCAACCUUUGCUCAGAUCCUACUUCACUUGGUGUACUUUGCAGGGGGACCUUUUAUGGGUCAGCAGGACACGAGGCUGGGAGAAGUGAUGGUGGACGAGGACGGCUGGGAGCAGGGACCCACCUUCCUGAUGUCAUGACUGUGCAAGCUGGGGCUGUUGGUGCUGUGCAGCCCCCCUCGCCUGGGGGCCAGGGUGUGGGGGACAUGAGAGGCCACCCAGAAUGCAUCCAUUUAAUAGAAGUUUCCAGCGCUGACCGUACAAACCAGUAAGGAACCAGCAGCAAAGGACGCAGGG
RNAcentral lists this long non-coding RNA (547 nucleotides) under Homo sapiens (human). Its description in RNAcentral is "HSALNT0355406". Lineage: Eukaryota; Metazoa; Chordata; Mammalia; Primates; Hominidae. The record is from RNAcentral.